RNAcentral lists this ribosomal RNA (507 nucleotides) under uncultured Glomeromycotina. RNAcentral's name for it is "SSU rRNA". It matches the Rfam family "Eukaryotic small subunit ribosomal RNA", at positions 569 to 1077 of the family's 1831-position model. The record is from RNAcentral. Lineage: Eukaryota; Fungi; Glomeromycota.
AGCAGCCGCGGUAAUUCCAGCUCCGAUAGCGUAUAUUAAAGUUGUUGCAGUUAAAAAGCUCGUAGUUGAAUUUCGGGGUUAGUAGGUUGGUCAUGCCUCUGGUAUGUACUGGUCUCACUGAUUCCUCCUUCCUGAUGAGCCGUAAUGCCAUUAAUUUGGUGUUGCGGGGAAUUUGGACUGUUACUUUGAAAAAAUUAGAGUGUUUAAAGCAAGCUAACGCUUGAAUACAUUAGCAUGGAAUAAUGAAAUAGGACGUUCGAUCCUAUUUUGUUGGUUUCUAGGAUUGACGUAAUGAUUAAUAGGGAUAGUUGGGGGCAUUAGUAUUCAAUUGUCAGAGGUGAAAUUCUUGGAUUUAUUGAAGACUAACUACUGCGAAAGCAUUUGCCAAGGAUGUUUUCAUUAAUCAAGAACGAAAGUUAGGGGAUCGAAGACGAUCAGAUACCGUCGUAGUCUUAACCAUAAACUAUGCCGACUAGGGAUCGGAUGAUGUUAAUUUUUUAAUGACUC